GCCUCCGAUAAUUGGAAAGGAUUGCCGCAACUGCCGGCCUAAAUUGAUGGUGUUUUUCCUUUUUUUUUCCCAGCUGUAACUAACGACCAUUAACAUAGCCCUUGAGGAUUGUCUAAAUUGGCCUUUAAUCUAGAUGGUCAGAUCUGAUCGGCACUUAGGUAUUUGAUUUUGGAUUACUAGGGUACCGUAAAAAUCCUCCCGUAAUAUGGACUUGGGACUUGAAUCCGAUGGGAAAUCCAGUAGAAAAAAUGUUUCAUAAUUUUAUUGUAACCAAAAGGUCAUACGCACAGUGGUGUUGAUAAAUUGAAGGUGAUUCUUUGGUACCUAAGAAUUUACGCAUGCAAGCAUUUAUGGGUGUAAGAAUUUGCAAAGCUCACGGCAUAAUUGACUACUUCCUCCGAUACAUA
This 407-nucleotide long non-coding RNA is filed under the name Brachypodium distachyon (stiff brome). RNAcentral describes it as "long non-coding RNA (BDIS_LNC005891)". Lineage: Eukaryota; Viridiplantae; Streptophyta; Magnoliopsida; Poales; Poaceae. The record is from RNAcentral.